This 381-nucleotide RNase P RNA is filed under the name Anopheles stephensi (Asian malaria mosquito). Its description in RNAcentral is "nuclear RNase P". It matches the Rfam family "Nuclear RNase P". From Rfam's summary of the family: Ribonuclease P (RNase P) is a ubiquitous endoribonuclease, found in archaea, bacteria and eukarya as well as chloroplasts and mitochondria. Its best characterised activity is the generation of mature 5'-ends of tRNAs by cleaving the 5'-leader elements of precursor-tRNAs. Cellular RNase Ps are ribonucleoproteins. Lineage: Eukaryota; Metazoa; Arthropoda; Insecta; Diptera; Culicidae. The record is from RNAcentral.
CUAGUGGUAAUCUCGCACUUGGAGCACCCAUACGAGUACCUGGUUACUCAUUUAUUUGCUUCGGGAAGGUCUGAGAUAAGGCAUGUGAAUAUGCCUCAGCAAGGCAACUCUUUGAAAAGGGUGUUCGCUACCAGCAAUGCAUCAGUUGUGGAUGACGCAGUGUCCUGUGCGUGGCAGGGGAGACGGAUUGUAACCGCCGUGUGUGUGUGUCGCCUCUCGGGGAGGCAUGCAGCGUGGGGGGCAGUUCUUUCUUCGCGCCACGUCAGGCACUGAUUGAAAACAGCGGAUUGCCAGCCAUUUAAGUCAAAUAUGCGAGCUACUAUCGCUGAGGGAGUAUCCUUCCUCCGGAGUAGAACUCAAUUCAGACUAAUCUACCACUAG